Molecule: non-coding RNA, 82 nt
Organism: Glycine soja
Lineage: Eukaryota; Viridiplantae; Streptophyta; Magnoliopsida; Fabales; Fabaceae
Source: Rfam
CAGAAAUAGGAGUUCCCUUGCAGCCCAAAACACCCUGCAUGAACUUCAUGUUGUUUUGGACCGAAGGGAGCCCCUUCUUCUU